AAUGAAUGGAACCCUAGCUUGGCGCCGCCUGGUGACGUCGGGAGCCAGUGACGUCAUUGGUCUGCGCGCGGACCCGGCUGCAUCGAGCGGCGUGGAGCAGGUACAUAUAUAUACAUUUAUGAUUCGGAUCCAGUGAUCUCCUAUGAUCAAGGAGGAAUUUGAUCUAAUCAGGAAUUGCACAGUCUAUUCUGAAGCGCCGCAGCCCGGCCGCUUCCAGCGUCGGGUAACCAAGACGACGACGUAUGCACGGAGCGCACUGUGCAUGACGUCAUCCAGUUGAGACGGAAGAAGGGACGGACCACAGACGGCCGGGCGGGCGUGAUCAGGACACUUGGCGGGUUUUCUCU
Pseudophryne corroboree (corroboree frog) is the source of this 347-nucleotide long non-coding RNA. RefSeq lists it as uncharacterized. NCBI's taxonomy places the organism in Eukaryota, Metazoa, Chordata, Amphibia, Anura, Myobatrachidae. The record is from RefSeq and is a predicted model, not a curated record. The transcript has 4 exons.